Molecule: ribosomal RNA, 240 nt
Filed under: uncultured bacterium
Lineage: Bacteria
Description: partial 16S ribosomal RNA
Rfam family: Bacterial small subunit ribosomal RNA
Source: RNAcentral
AGCGGCGGACGGGUGAAUAACGCGUGGGUAACCUGCCUCAUACAGGGGGAUAACAGUUGGAAACGGCUGCUAAUACCGCAUAAGCGCACAGUACCGCAUGGUACCGUGUGAAAAACUCCGGUGGUAUGAGAUGGACCCGCGUCUGAUUAGCUAGUUGGUGGGGUAACGGCCUACCAAGGCAACGAUCGGUAGCCGGACUGAGAGGUUGAACGGCCACAUUGGGACUGAGACACGGCCCAG